CAGAAAAAGAGAUUAAAAAGCAAAAAGCAAUGGAUGGUGAGAAAUGUAGAGAAAGCAAGUAGGGAAGCUAACCAUUGCACAGCAAAGGAAGGCAAAGCAAGGCAAAGAAUGAAAAAAUGCAGCCUUCCAGGAAUGCAGGAAUGUGGGAAAGCUGAGCCCCGGCUUGCCACAGGAGCUGCGCAGAAGGAGAAGAAGCGUUGUAGAGCUGUCAGGCAGACGGGGGUUGAUUUGCCACUCUCAGCAGGUAUGAGACUAGCAAUACUUUCUGUAAGUGCAUUGCAGUUGAGAAAUGAGUUUGUUUUGGCUAUAGAAACAGUGUAUUUGAGGGAUUUUGGUGGAUGUGGCCUAAAGGAUAAGGAUUCAGUUGGCGACUGCUUUCUGUGAUGUGGAAAUGCUGUCCUUUGUGUUAGGGAUGGAGCAUGGGAUUCGAUUGGCUCUUAUUGAGAAAGGGGAAAAUGGGCAGCCUGUGUGGGUAAGAACAUUCUGUGAGCUGUAGUUUGGGUGUGUUCAGCUAAAUAGGACUGUAUGAAAGGGCGUGUGAUGGAGGAGAGAGGAAAGUGCCUUGUGUUGACUAUAAAGAUGGUAGAAUGUUAGAGCAGUGGAAAGGCAAAUUAAAGAAACCGUGCUUGGAAACUGGAAGGUUGUGGGUGACUGUGCCAAAAUCUUCCUCCAAAGAGUUGCUCUUCAAGUACUUCUUGCUUUCUCCCUGCCACAAGCUGAUACCAGUAGCCAUCCAGUGCAGCGUGGCUAUGCAGAAAGGCUGGGGAAGAAGACAGAGCUUGAGAAGGCACCAAGGACACGUACAGUGAGCUGAAGGCAGUGUGUGUGGAGCCUUGUGAUGGGAAACCCACGGUCCCCACAGGGUAGGUGCGGAAAAGAAAUGGAGCUGAGAUGCAUCUGUGUGCUGUGAGUGCUAUUGCUGAGGACAGGGAGGAGCCCCAGCUGAUAAAAGGGCUUUGGUAAGAACAGUGGUGAAAGCAGGAGUGGAUAUGGAAGGUUUGGAUUGCUCAUGGAGGAACGGUGGAAGUGUCAAAUAUUCUGCAGGUUCAGCAUGCGCUGCGCCCUGCCUGCGCCCUGCCUGCGCCCUGCCUGGUUUUUUGUCCUUUCCUUUUUAGGGUAGGAAAGCAAAUUUCUGGGGCAGGGGAAGAAGAAAUGCAGCAGUCUUCUCUGCACAGCUCAUUUUGCGUGAGUUGCCAGGUGCUGCUGUGGUAAUUGGUGCUGAUGAGCCGGCCUUCGUGGCAGGGCUGUGGCUUUAUUUUAUGUCAGAAUUUGAGGGCUAUGAUUUUCCCACUCAACUGGGGUGUUGAUGCUGCUGCACGUAUCUCCCAUUUUGCCCUUCUGCUCUGUGUAAAAGAAUAGCAAAACAUGCCAUCUCUGUGUGCAAUUUCCUUCAAGUAUUUUACUUCCAGAUUCCCUAAAAUUUGGAUCUGGGAGGUGACCACUCCUUUGUCUAUGAUGAAAGCACAGCGGUGAUGCAGGCACUUGCUGAGGUCACAGUGGUUGCCGGGCUGGGAGCGUUUGUGCCCCAGCUGGGAGCAGAGCUGGUGCUCUAG
Long non-coding RNA from Centrocercus urophasianus (Greater sage-grouse), 1553 nucleotides. RefSeq lists it as uncharacterized. The record is from RefSeq and is a predicted model, not a curated record. The transcript has 3 exons. NCBI's taxonomy places the organism in Eukaryota, Metazoa, Chordata, Aves, Galliformes, Phasianidae.